This is a non-coding RNA of Danio rerio (zebrafish), 1099 nucleotides long. The record is from RefSeq and is a predicted model, not a curated record. NCBI's taxonomy places the organism in Eukaryota, Metazoa, Chordata, Actinopteri, Cypriniformes, Danionidae.
UGUCAUUUGUUUGUUUCUGUUGUCUGCAUUUUAAUCGUUUCAUGAUGCAAUGGUGUGUUUUAUCUGCCUGAUUCCAGCUGAAGUGAGCGGGUUGUGUGACGUUUAUUUUGGGGGACGUUCUGUAGGCGAGGUUUGUGUGACGCUCUGCGAGCUACUAGCUCAACAGUGGAAACGCGACAUGAUUUCGGCCUCACUACUCGAUUGGCCUGGCCCGAUAAAAGCCCUGGCUCACACUGGCCCGAAAGUGGAAAUGCGGCUAUUGUUUAUACCUAGAUCUGGGGACCUCCACAAACAACUGGCCUGCUGAUCGUAGGAUCGUGUUCGCUCAGCACCACCUUCAAGAUGGGCAGUUUCCAGUGGCACCACGUGGAGGAACGGACCUCGCCACCUAUAUAUACAGGGAAGCAGAGGAAAUAUGGAGAAUGUGAUGAGACUGAGAGAAGAACAAACCUCCAAGUACCACAACAGACUCAAGCGUAUGGAGAACAUUAGAAACUGGACACAUAUACCACAUCCACAGCAGACAUCUUCAGUGAUUUUCAUCGCUUGUAUUUAUUUUCAGAGGAAAUGCAGCUCAGCACCACCUUCAAGAUGGGCAGUUUCCAGUGGCACCACGUGGAGGAACGGACAUCGCCACCUAUAUAUACAGGGUUUGGAUUAUCACUCACCAUGAACUACAACUACACACUAAAUCACUAGUCAAUAAAUGAUGUCCUCCAACCAUAAAUCAUAUACCACAUUAGCAAAACAUUAGACUAGAGAAGGUUGUAUAUGAGGACAAUAUUAAAGCAAAUACUAAAGGUAGCAACUUAAUUCAUCUUCAGAACACAAAUGAAGAUAUCUGAAUGAAAAUAAUGAAGAUAUUUUAGUUAAAUCUGAGAGCUCCUUAAUCUCUCAUAGACAGCAAGAUUCCUGACUAUGAGGAUACUUUUAUGUGCACAUAAAACAAAAAUAACUUUAUUCAACAGUUUCUUCCCUCAGUGUCAGUAUAGGGCGCGCGUUCACGUGUUGCGCCUCUGACAUAUAACCUUGGAUGUGCCUGUGAAGUUUUUAAGAGAGGAAGUCAGAGAGGAAGUCGCACAGGCAUCCGUGGGGUAUA